RNAcentral lists this transfer RNA (55 nucleotides) under Tetragnatha similis. RNAcentral's name for it is "tRNA-Tyr". The record is from RNAcentral. Lineage: Eukaryota; Metazoa; Arthropoda; Arachnida; Araneae; Tetragnathidae.
CAAUAAAUGAUGAUAGACUGUAAAUCUAUUUUAGAAACUACAAUAAACCUCAACC